Molecule: ribosomal RNA, 503 nt
Filed under: uncultured Acholeplasma sp.
Lineage: Bacteria; Bacillati; Mycoplasmatota; Mollicutes; Acholeplasmatales; Acholeplasmataceae
Description: bacterial SSU rRNA
Rfam family: Bacterial small subunit ribosomal RNA
Source: RNAcentral
UGCGCCUUGCCAGCCCGCUCAGAAACUUAAAGGAAUUGACGGGACCCCGCACAAGCGGUGGAUCAUGUUGUUUAAUUCGAUGAUACGCGAAGAACCUUACCAGGUCUUGACAUCCCCCCGCGAUGCUUUAGAGAUAAAGCGGAGGUAUUCGGGGAGACAGGUGGUGCAUGGUUGUCGUCAGCUCGUGUCGUGAGAUGUUGGGUUAAGUCCCGCAACGAGCGCAACCCCUAUUGCUAGUUACCAUCAUUAAGUUGGGGACUCUAGCGAGACUGCCAGUGAUAAACUGGAGGAAGGUGGGGAUGACGUCAAAUCAUCAUGCCCCUUAUGACCUGGGCUACAAACGUGAUACAAUGGCUGGAACAAAGGGAUGCGAAGCAGUGAUGUGGGGCGAAACCCAUAAAAACAGUCUCAGUUCGGAUUGAAGUCUGCAACUCGACUUCAUGAAGUCGGAAUCGCUAGUAAUCGCGGAUCAGAACGCCGCGGUGAAUACGUUCUCGGGGUUU